CUUGCAUCCGGUAAUGUAAUUGGCACAAUUAUUAGCUUUUCUGUGAUUUUAUCCUUGACCGGUAAAAUUCAGUCCCGCGAGGGUCUAAUUUGAAUUUCUCUCCUUUGUUUUCUUAGGCCAGUUCCGCAGGUCACCCGAAUCAAACAUCUGUACAGGGCCUGCCUUCAUCCAGCACAGCAGUGCACACACCACUGCAGUGCCUCCAGCCUGGACACAGUUACCCUGCUGCUCCAUAUGCUGGCCAGCACAGUGCUGCAACACCAGCUCCAGCUAGUCUAUGUUCAGUCAACGUCCAGCAUACAGUCAGUGCUGCUGGCUACACACCUCCAAGUGUGCAACAGACCCAAGCUGCAGCAAAUAUUUUAGCAUCAGCUGUGCCACAACUUGUUGCGCAGAGCUACCAAACACCAUGCCACCAACAGCAACAGGCAACAGCAGCAAGCUCUUUGACUUUUCCUUUGAAAGUCCAACAAACUUGUCAGAACUGUGUGUCUCAACAACAGGCUCACUCUGCAUCAGGAUACCCUACUCCAGUUCAGCAACAGACUGCUGCAGCAGCGACCGCUCUGCCAGCACAGCAGCCAGCACAAAGCUACCCUCUUGCAUCUUUAGCCCCAACUAUGGCAGCCAUUGCCCAGUGUCCUGAUACUACACAAGCUCCCAGCGCACUGCAACACGUCAAACUGCCAAGUCAGCAGCCUGGUCAGAGCUCCUCGACACCAGCACUUUACAGCCAACAGAUAAACAUUCAGCAAGAGCACCAACUAAAUACUCAGUCCAAUAUACAACUAACACAACAUGCUGAGCAGGCUCAUAUUCAGCCUCAACUCCAGCAUAGCCAAGAAACUCUGCAUACCAUACACCAACAAAUGGCACAACAGCCUACCCAGCUUUCUCAAAGUAUUCAGUCUCCUGGUCAGCAACAAGUACACACCCUAACUCUACAGAAGCACAGUCAGAAAGCCAUGCAGACUGCAGUUCCACAACAGAGCCAGGAUGUAUCCCAGUCUACAGUCCAACAGGCUCAUAUUCCAGCUUCUCAACUUCAUCCAACAGCACUCCCAGUUGUGCAGGUUGCAGCCACACACCAGAGUUACCCUGCUGCUGGUCUACCUGAUGCUGCCUCUCAACACUAUGCACAUUCUGCCCUCAAUGCACUGCAGCAACAGACGGCAUCAGCUCAGAACCACUACCUGUCUGCACAGUCUACUGCUGCUCCCCAGACUUACGGAGGACAACAGAAUAUUCUUGCUGGUCAUAGCAUAUCACAGCUUGUACAAGAUGGACAGAGCCAUGGGCAAAAUCUCAGCCAGUCAGCUUCAAGUGCACCAGCCCAGGCACUGCCUCCUCAACAGUCAAUGGCUCAGGCUACUGUCCAGCAACAACUCCAACCUCUGCAGAUUUCAAACUCUCUACCACCAACACAUCCAUCCCAGCAGGUUCAGCAGGCCCAGAUCAGCAAUCCUGAGCUUGUCCCCUCUGCUCAGCCAGUCCAGCCCGCUCAGCUCACCCACCCUGCAGUCUUCUCCUCACCUUUGCUGAAUGGGUCAGACCCGUGCACAGUCACUACUGCAGCCCAGCUGGACAACAAUAAUCCAUGCCAGCUGGCCCUGCAGGCCCAGAGUCAGGUUCAGAGCCAGAUUCCUGUGCUUCAGCCCUCUGACUUUCAGAGAGCGUCAUCUGGGUCUGCUAGUUCCAGUCUGACUCAGCAGAAACAGCUCAGUAGUCUCACUGGAGCUGUAGGUCAGGGUCCAACAGAGACCAACGCUGAGGAUCAAGCUGCAGAGAGACACACUGAAGGACAUAGCUAUGACAGGUACUAGCUUCUUUCCCCUCAACCAUGUUUGCAGGUGAUCUCAGCCAGCUCUCAGGUUCUG
Molecule: long non-coding RNA, 1877 nt
Filed under: Sander lucioperca (pikeperch)
Lineage: Eukaryota; Metazoa; Chordata; Actinopteri; Perciformes; Percidae
Description: lncRNA (ENSSLUG00000023228.1)
Source: RNAcentral